GUCUACGGCCAUGCCACCCUGAACAAGCCUGAUGUCCGAUCUCGGAAGCUAAGCAGGUGCGAGCCUGGUUAGUACUUGGAUGGGAGACCACCUAGGAAGACCAGGUGCUUUUGGCA
Molecule: ribosomal RNA, 116 nt
Filed under: Pteropus alecto (black flying fox)
Lineage: Eukaryota; Metazoa; Chordata; Mammalia; Chiroptera; Pteropodidae
Source: RNAcentral